UUGACUUCUCCAGUUUCGGAUUUUCUGUUGCCGAUGUCCCUCAUCACUCACCCAACAAAGUGUGUGACAGUGGUGUUUUCGUUAUGACAUUCCUAGAGCAUUGGAGCGGAAGGUUGGCUGUUCGGCUUACAGAGGAAAAUGUUGGCAAGUAUCGAGUG
Molecule: long non-coding RNA, 158 nt
Organism: Coffea arabica (coffee)
Lineage: Eukaryota; Viridiplantae; Streptophyta; Magnoliopsida; Gentianales; Rubiaceae
Source: RefSeq, a predicted model, not a curated record